AGUGAACGCUGGCGGUAGGCCUAACACAUGCAAGUCGAACGGCAGCACAGUAAGAGCUUGCUCUUACGGGUGGCGAGUGGCGGACGGGUGAGGAAUACAUCGGAAUCUACUUUUUCGUGGGGGAUAACGUAGGGAAACUUACGCUAAUACCGCAUACGACCUACGGGUGAAAGCAGGGGAUCUUCGGACCUUUCGCGAUUGUAUGAGCCGAUGUCGGAUUAGCUAGUUGGCGGGGUAAAGGCCCACCAAGGCGACGAUCCGUAGCUGGUCUGAGAGGAUGAUCAGCCACACUGGAACUGAGACACGGUCCAGACUCCUGCGGGAGGCAGCAGUGGGGAAUAUUGGACAAUGGGCGAAAGCCUGAUCCAGCAAUACCGCGUGGGUGAAGAAGGCCUUCGGGUUGUAAAGCCCUUUUGUUGGGAAAGAAAAGCAGCAGGUUAAUACCCCGCUGUUCUGACGGUACCCAAAGAAUAAGCACCGGCUAACUUCGUG
This 492-nucleotide ribosomal RNA is filed under the name uncultured bacterium. Its description in RNAcentral is "partial 16S ribosomal RNA". It matches the Rfam family "Bacterial small subunit ribosomal RNA", at positions 29 to 507 of the family's 1533-position model. The record is from RNAcentral.